CGGCAGGCCUAACACAUGCAAGUCGAGGGGUAACAUAGGAAAGCUUGCUUUUCUGAUGACGACCGGCGCACGGGUGCGUAACGCGUAUACAACCUACCUUUUAGCGGGGAAUAGCCCAGGGAAACUUGGAUUAAUGCCCAUAGUAUAUAGACUUCUCCUGAAGUUUAUAUUAAACAUUUAUGGCUAUUAGAUGGGUAUGCGUCCUAUUAGUUAGUUGGUAAGGUAACGGCUUACCAAGGCAGCGAUAGGUAGGGGUCCUGAGAGGGAGAUACCCCACACUGGUACUGAGACACGGACCAGACUCCUACGGGAGGCAGCAGUGAGGAAUAUUGGACAAUGGGCGAGAGCCUGAUCCAGCCAUGCCGCGUGCAGGAAGACUGCCCUAUGGGUUGUAAACUGCUUUUACAGAGGAAGAACCACCCCCACGUGUGGGGGUUUGACGGUACUCUGCGAAUAAGGAUCGGCUAACUCCGUG
Molecule: ribosomal RNA, 475 nt
Filed under: uncultured bacterium
Lineage: Bacteria
Description: bacterial SSU rRNA
Rfam family: Bacterial small subunit ribosomal RNA
Source: RNAcentral